Polypterus senegalus (gray bichir) is the source of this 839-nucleotide long non-coding RNA. RefSeq lists it as uncharacterized. The transcript is spliced from 3 exons. Lineage: Eukaryota; Metazoa; Chordata; Cladistia; Polypteriformes; Polypteridae. The record is from RefSeq and is a predicted model, not a curated record.
GCCACAGGGGUCCGGUGGAGGACUGGCUGAUCAAAUCGGCUUCGGACUGCGCAGACACCAGUGACGUCAUGCCUCAAAAUCACGUGACGGGCGCAUUUGCAACAAGCCCCGAAGCGGCGCUUCAAACACCAGCGCUUCUAAAGCCCGACACGGUGUGGACAGGACAGUAUCAAGCAACCCAUCGCUACAUGCUGCACCUUCUCGUCUGCACAGUGUGUUCUCCUGAUCUUCACCCCUCCACGGACAGCGAGAGCGCCUCCAUUCCAGCCCCAUCAAUCCCGUCUCUCGCGCUCCUUCCGCCCUUUUUUUUCAGGACCUCCUCCUCUCGCUGAUUUCAUGUUUUAUUUGCAUAACGCACAGCGCCUUCUGAAAGCACCGUGCUAGCUCAGUAGCUGCGCAGACACACGGCCCUCUGUAUCUCCAGCCUGAUCGUUAUAAUAACGUUAAGGGAAUGAAAGUAAAAAGUGUAACAAAGAAAUACAGCUAGACGGUAUGAUCACGUUCACCUGUCCCAGAAUAAAUAAUGAAGUACUUAUGACAUAUACAACAGACAUACUUCUAAAUUAUCACUGAUUCAGCCAAAGAUGAUGGCUCUUGUUGGAAGAAUGAUGAAUGACAACCACAAAAUCCAAACUGCAAAAUGAAGAAGCUGGCAAAAUAUCCCACCGCUGUGUGUUUGUUAGAAGAGAUAUUGUUCCUGGUGAAGAAAUCACCUACACCUACGGAGAGGCACAGUGAGUAGCCUUGGAGGAUGAAGGCCCAAAGGACCAAACCAGACCAAUCAUUACCAAGAAAGAAGUCAAAGAAUGUCUAUUAGUUUAAAAUAAAACCAAACACAU